CACGUAGGGGCCAAGCGUUGUCCGGAUUUAUUGGGCGUAAAGAGCUCGUAGGCGGUUGGGUAAGUCGGGUGUGAAAACUCCAGGCUCAACUUGGAGACGCCACCCGAUACUGCUCUGAUUUGAGUUCGGUAGGGGAGUGGGGAAUUCCUGGUGUAGCGGUGAAAUGCGCAGAUAUCAGGAGGAACACCGGUGGCGAAGGCGCCACUCUGGGCCGAAACUGACGCUGAGGAGCGAAAGCGUGGGUAGCAAACAGG
RNAcentral lists this ribosomal RNA (254 nucleotides) under uncultured bacterium. Its description in RNAcentral is "partial 16S ribosomal RNA". It matches the Rfam family "Bacterial small subunit ribosomal RNA", at positions 524 to 776 of the family's 1533-position model. The record is from RNAcentral.